Molecule: long non-coding RNA, 752 nt
Filed under: Elaeis guineensis (African oil palm)
Lineage: Eukaryota; Viridiplantae; Streptophyta; Magnoliopsida; Arecales; Arecaceae
Description: long non-coding RNA (EGUI_LNC030791)
Source: RNAcentral
AUUGGUCAAUAUUCCAGGCUUGAACAUAUAUAAAAGCGUUAGAGACUUCAUAACAAGUUGAAAACUUAAUGGCCACUUUAGAUAUAGCAAGAGAAUUAUUUUGAUAAAUAAAAUAGACCUAUCAUAUACUAAAGCUGCUCACCACCACUCUACUAUCUAAAUAUGUGAAAAAAUAUAUAUAUAUAUAUAUAUACAAAAUAAAUAUUUUAUAAAGACACACAUAUAUAUAUAUAUAUAUAUAUCAAUUUUAUAAAAAUAUUUAUAUAAAUUUGCAUAUUUAAGAGAAUAUUUAUAAUUUUUUUUUAAUUUUAAGUGUAGUAACCAUUUUUAAUACAACAAAAUUGAUGGACAGAAGGAAGAAGAUCAUUAUUUUUUAAAAUUAAUUUUAAAUAAUUCUUUGUGUUCCGCAUUUCUCUUACAAAAUACACAUAGUGAUGGAUCCAUGGGAGCAAAAGUAAAUUUUCUGUUUUUUUUAAAAAAAAAAAGAAAAAGAGCACCCGGUUCUAUCACUUUCGAAUCAAAACAUGGGAUUUCGAAACCCCGGCGGUGAGGAGAAAAGCUAUGUGGUUUCUUCUCCAUUCCAAAUUAUGAAGUCACCCCAACUUUACACAUAAGUUGGAGCAGCAAAAGUAAAAUUUCUAUUUUUUUUAAAAAAAAACGAGCAUCCCAUUCUAUCACUUUCAGAUCAAAAGAUGGGAUUUCAAAACCUUAGCUGUAGUCCUCUACUCCUAUGCAAGUCAUGGAGUGACCCC